Brienomyrus brachyistius is the source of this 240-nucleotide long non-coding RNA. RefSeq lists it as uncharacterized. The record is from RefSeq and is a predicted model, not a curated record. The transcript is spliced from 3 exons. NCBI's taxonomy places the organism in Eukaryota, Metazoa, Chordata, Actinopteri, Osteoglossiformes, Mormyridae.
UCACACAGGACAGGUCACACACAAGGCAGCUUCAGGUGGUUAUAGGAUGCACUCACAUAGGACAGGACAGGUCACACACGAGGCAGCUUCAGGUGGUUAUAGGAUGCACUCACAUAGGACAGGACAGGUCACACACGAGGCAGCUUCAGGUGGUUAUAGGAUGCACUCACAUAGGACAGGACAGGUCACACACGAGGCAGCUUCAGGUGGCUGCAGGAUGCACUCACACAGGACAGGUCA